CGACACUAACAAUCCUUCGGGUGCGUUAAUGGGCGUCGAGCGGCGGACGGGUGAGUAAUGCCUAGGAAAUUGCCUUGAUGUGGGGGAUAACCAUUGGAAACGAUGGCUAAUACCGCAUAAUGCCUACGGGCCAAAGAGGGGGACCUUCGGGCCUCUCGCGUCAAGAUAUGCCUAGGUGGGAUUAGCUAGUUGGUGAGGUAAUGGCUCACCAAGGCGACGAUCCCUAGCUGGUCUGAGAGGAUGAUCAGCCACACUGGAACUGAGACACGGUCCAGACUCCUACGGGAGGCAGCAGUGGGGAAUAUUGCACAAUGGGCGAAAGCCUGAUGCAGCCAUGCCGCGUGUAUGAAGAAGGCCUUCGGGUUGUAAAGUACUUUCAGUUGUGAGGAAGGGGGUAGCGUUAAUAGCRMYAUCUCUUGACGUUAGCAACAGAAGAAGCACCGGCUAACUCCGUGCCAGCAGCCGCGGUAAUACGGAGGGUGCGAGCGUUAAUCGGAAUUACUGGGCGUAAAGCGCAUGCAGGUGGUUCAUUAAGUCAGAUGUGAAAGCCCGGGGCUCAACCUCGGAACUGCAUUUGAAACUGGUGAACUAGAGUACUGUAGAGGGGGGUAGAAUUUCAGGUGUAGCGGUGAAAUGCGUAGAGAUCUGAAGGAAUAC
This 657-nucleotide ribosomal RNA is filed under the name Vibrio sp. RNAcentral's name for it is "bacterial SSU rRNA". The record is from RNAcentral. Lineage: Bacteria; Pseudomonadati; Pseudomonadota; Gammaproteobacteria; Vibrionales; Vibrionaceae.